CUGAUGAGCUGGGCAGAGUAACUCCUUGGUGUGCUUUGUGCCCCGAUGCUGUUUGGUAUUUCACAGUUGGACACGUUAGCCCUGUGUCUCUGUCGAGCUCUAUUUUGACCCCUUGUGUUUUCCCACAGCUUCACUUUUCAGACUUCCACUCACAUGGCUGCUGCCUCCCACCCAGGACACAUCCCUGGUGAAUAAAGGUUGACUGAUUAUUUUUUUUCCUCUGCCCUUUUAAGGCGCUGUUUGUUUGCAAGGUAAUGACUACAUGUGGCAACCCCUUCUUUCCUUACGUUCACCUGCAGCCACACAGCUGGCUCCAAAACCAGCUCUGCAGGAGCAGAGAGCGGCAGAGGGUGCUCUUGUGAGCUGGGUGCCUGCAGAGCCUGCUCACAGCCAAGGCGGGGAGAAGCCCAGCCUGCUGCUGGGUGAAACAACAAGCUCUGCAGGUCAGGAAGCUGUGGUCUUGUGCUGCAUGGUGUCUGCACAGAGCUGCCUGCCGAGAGCGAGCUGAAGAGUGGGAGAGCUUGGAUCGAGAUGCUCGGGAUGCUCGGGAGCCCCUGGUGAGGAGUGGUCUUGUGGUUUAAAGGAGACAAAGUCCUCCAGGUUGACUGGCAUGGAAGCAGGCAUGGCUGGAUUCCCGUUCUUCUCGCUCACCGGCUUCUGAGGCUCUGCAAAGCUGAGUGCUGUUGACUAACGGUUACGAGGCUUUUGCUUUUCAUAACCGGGGACCGAAAACCCCCUACUUCUGCUUGGUGGGGCUUCUUUCGGUACAACUCCCCAGGGCACCGCGCUGCGUUGGCUGUGGCCCCGUUGGCCAUCAUGGAUGGGAAGCUCUGUGCCGGCUCUGGUUCCCCACGGCAGCUCUGCAGACCCUCCUCUCGUUCCCAUGUUGUGUCGGCGCAGCAUUAUCUGCCCCAAUGAAUCACGCCGGGCAAAAUCGUCAGCAGCAGAACUUAAAUCGACAGGAAAUCAAAUUUCGUUGUCAUGAGGCCCAGCUGAGGAACUGGAGCUUUUUGUAACACGGCUUUCGGAGCUGAAAAACCCUCAUAUCCUGGAGUAAGAAGCCGGGCUCGGUGCUGGUGCUGAGGCAUCGUGACAUGGGGUGAUCCCCCAGCGCAUGCCAUGCCCACGGAGCUGCAGCCACCUCCAAAGCAGUGGGGCGGAUGGGAAUGCUGUCUGCUGCAGCUCCUGCCCUGAGAGCAGCCCCGGGACCUGGUGAGCCGUGGCUUUAUUAGCAGGAAGCUGAGCUGCUGAACAGUCUGUUGGCAUCUCUGUCCUGCAUACCUGCUCGGUCUGAGCGUUGGGCUUCCAGGUGUUGGGUCCCGAGUUGGUCACUCUUGGCCAUUGGUAGAGCCAGCGCCCUGUGCCCGAGGGGGCCAUUCCCAAUGGGUGCAGAACCCAAACGUGCCACAGAGGGUAAAAAAUGGACCAUUUUUUAGGUCAAAAACACAGGAGCAACCACAGACCUCCCGCGCAGCGGAGAGGGCGGGCAAAGUAGGUCAGGAGAAGUGCUCUGAGUUAACUUCAGCUGAAGAGCCUCAUUCUCAGAUCCGAACAGCUCGGGGAUGGCCGUGGGCUGAGCCGACCCCACGUGUGCUCAUCUCAGCAAGAGAAGAUGGCCCUUCAAUCGCCAUUCACCUCCAGCCACCAUUCCUGGGUAUCGCUCUGCUAAGUCCCAGCGCCUCUCCCUGCUGCCGCCCCGGGUGCAGCCACCCCUGCAGCCUCUGAUCCUCUGUAAUGAGCCAAACGAGUCCAGCCGGGACCGUCUGGAGUGCUGCAGGUCACACAUCAUGCGUGCUCAGACAGCGAGCGGUGCCGUCUAAUUAAAACACCGUGGAGGGAGGGGAGCUCCUUCCCAGCUCUGAUGUGAGCCGGUCUGCCCAGUCAGUGUCUCCAACCUCCCGUCUCCAUUUCCACGUGGAAAUAAUGGCUCUCCGGGGGUGAAGACUUUGAGUCGGCGGCGUUUCCGAAGGUGUGGGAAGGUCUCAGAUUGACACCCCGGGGCCUUUUUGGGGUGUGCGGAGCAACGAGCGGCCGCUGUGACAUCGAUGCUGGGGAUGUGGUGGCGGUUUGGCAGCACGGCAGUGGCCGGGCAGGGACAGGAACGGUGCCACGGGAUUUUCCUGGUGUUGGAUGGAUGGUGACUGCCACGAACCGCUCUGCACUCCUCCAUUCUGGGAAGCAGAAUCCUCUCUGUGUCCCCUGAGUCGCACCAUGGCCCCCAGCACGGUUAUGGUGCCGUCAGCGGGGCUGUUGCCGGCACCCUACGUGACCUCACCAAAUGGUUCCCGGCUCUUCUGACCCCGUGCCGUGGUCACUGCCCAGCCCUGGUGUCCCUGGAGCGUGCUGACAAUUUGGGGUGCCUCUGGGGCUUCUCCUUUGUAAGAUCUCGAAAGCAACGUGGGAGAUGAAUUCUGUGCUGCUCCUUUUCUAAAAGGAACCAACAUCCGGAGCAGCACAGCCUCCAGGAGGGCGGCAGAGGGGCCGAAAGCAGUCCCUGGUGGCUGUUCCUGCAGAGGCUGUGGGCAGCAUCUGGGCAGCCCCCUGCCCAGCAGCCACACUGUGGGGUC
This is a long non-coding RNA of Gallus gallus (chicken), 2567 nucleotides long. The record is from Ensembl. NCBI's taxonomy places the organism in Eukaryota, Metazoa, Chordata, Aves, Galliformes, Phasianidae.